GGGUGGGUAACCCCGUUCCCUCUUUCUUCAGGUGACUUCAGUAUAGGUUUAUCUUGUAGGAUCAGGCUUUGGGUUAGAUUUUGUUCAAAGGUGUGUGCAAGCCAGCUUGCUUUUUUAAAACUACUUUUCUUUCCACUACUUAAAUACAAAUAGUAGUCUUCUACAAAAUAUAAUACAAAACAACUAUCUUAUGAAUAAUAAAUAUUUAAAUGCUAUAAAUAGCCUAAAUAUUUAAAAAUAGAGUUAAAGGUUGCACUUUGAGUCUUAGAAAAUAGCCAUUUAGUUGACCAGAUGAACUGUUUUCACAUUCAAUGUCUUUUUUAUUUCCUGAGUUUUCUGA
This 340-nucleotide long non-coding RNA is filed under the name Bos taurus (domestic cattle). RNAcentral describes it as "long non-coding RNA NONBTAT024116". The record is from RNAcentral. Lineage: Eukaryota; Metazoa; Chordata; Mammalia; Artiodactyla; Bovidae.